This 119-nucleotide ribosomal RNA is filed under the name Calystegia sepium (hedge bindweed). RNAcentral's name for it is "partial 5.8S ribosomal RNA". It matches the Rfam family "5.8S ribosomal RNA", at positions 41 to 154 of the family's 154-position model. From Rfam's summary of the family: 5.8S ribosomal RNA (5.8S rRNA) is a component of the large subunit of the eukaryotic ribosome. It is transcribed by RNA polymerase I as part of the 45S precursor that also contains 18S and 28S rRNA. The record is from RNAcentral. Lineage: Eukaryota; Viridiplantae; Streptophyta; Magnoliopsida; Solanales; Convolvulaceae.
CAUCGAUUGCGAAAUGCGAUACUUGGUGUGAAUUGCAGAAUCCCGUGAACCAUCGAGUCUUUGAACGCAAGUUGCGCCCGAAGCCGUCAGGCUGAGGGCACGUCUGCCUGGGCGUCACG